This 65-nucleotide transfer RNA is filed under the name Okanagana oregona. Its description in RNAcentral is "tRNA-Cys". The record is from RNAcentral. Lineage: Eukaryota; Metazoa; Arthropoda; Insecta; Hemiptera; Cicadidae.
UGUCUUAUAGUUAAUAAAUAAUAACAUCAAACUGCAAUUUUGAAGUAAACUUGAGUUUAAGGCUU